GACGAACGCUGGCGGCGUGCUUAACACAUGCAAGUCGAACGGAAAGGCCCUGCUUUUGUGGGGUGCUCGAGUGGCGAACGGGUGAGUAACACGUGAGUAACCUGCCCUUGACUUUGGGAUAACUUCAGGAAACUGGGGCUAAUACCGGAUAGGAGCUCCUGCUGCAUGGUGGGGGUUGGAAAGUUUCGGCGGUUGGGGGUGGACUCGCGGCUUAUCAGCUUGUUGGUGGGGUAGUGGCUUACCGAGGCUUUGACGGGUAGCCGGCCUGAGAGGGUGAACGGGCACAUUGGGACUGAGAUCCGGCCCAGACAGCUACGAGAGGCAGCGGUGGGGAAGAGUGCACAAGGGGCGGAAGCGUGAUGCAGCAACGCCGCGGGCGGGAUGACGGCAUUCGGGUUGUAAACCGCUUUCGCCUGUGACGAAGCGUGAGUGACGGUAAUGGGUAAAGAAGCACCGCCUAACUACGU
This 467-nucleotide ribosomal RNA is filed under the name uncultured bacterium. Its description in RNAcentral is "partial 16S ribosomal RNA". It matches the Rfam family "Bacterial small subunit ribosomal RNA", at positions 28 to 506 of the family's 1533-position model. The record is from RNAcentral.